Molecule: ribosomal RNA, 442 nt
Filed under: uncultured bacterium
Lineage: Bacteria
Description: partial 16S ribosomal RNA
Rfam family: Bacterial small subunit ribosomal RNA
Source: RNAcentral
CCUACGGGAGGCAGCAGUAGGGAAUCUUUCACAAUGGGCGAAAGCCUGAUGGAGCAACGCCGCGUGCAGGAUGAAGGCCUUCGGGUUGUAAACUGCUUUUAUAAGCGAGAAAUAUGAUGGUAACUUAUGAAUAAGGAUCGGCUAACUACGUGCCAGCAGCCGCGGUCAUACGUAGGAUCCGAGCAUUAUCCGGAGUGGCUGGGUGUAAAGAGUUGCGUAGGUGGCAUAAUAAGUAGCUAGUGAAAUCUGGUGGCUCAACCAUUCAGACUAUUAGCUAAACUGUUAAGCUCGAGACCGUUAGAGGUAACUGGAAUUUCUAGUGUAGGAGUGAAAUCCGUAGAUAUUAGAAGGAACACCAAUAGCGUAGGCAGGUUGCUGGGACGGUUCUGACACUAAGGCACGAAAGCGUAGGGAGCAAACGGGAUUAGAUACCCCUGUAGUC